GAUGAAGACGCAGCGAAAUGCGAUAAGUAAUGUGAAUUGCAGAAUUCAGUGAAUCAUCGAAUCUUUGAACGCACAUUGCGCCCCCUGGUAUUCCGGGGGGCAUGCCUGUCCGAGCGUCAUUACAACCCUCAAGCUCAGCUUGGUAUUGGGCCCCGCCGACCCGGCGGGCCCUAAAGUCAGUGGCGGUGCCGUCCGGCUCCGAGCGUAGUAAUUCUUCUCGCUCUGGAGGUCCGGUCGUGUGCUCGCCAGCAACCCCCAAUUUUUUUCAGGUUGACCUCGGAUCAGGUAGGGAUACCCGCUGAACUUAAGCAUAUCAAUAAGCGGAGGA
RNAcentral lists this unclassified non-coding RNA (328 nucleotides) under soil metagenome. RNAcentral describes it as "partial contains 5.8S ribosomal RNA, internal transcribed spacer 2, and large subunit ribosomal RNA". The stretch from base 1 to 119 matches the Rfam family "5.8S ribosomal RNA", at positions 35 to 154 of the family's 154-position model. The record is from RNAcentral.